ACCAAAGUAACUGUCAUUCUAUGGAAUGACUCCCUAUGGAGAUAGGGAUAUAUGGGGGAAUGUGGGCUUAAAUUUGAUCUUUACGGAUCUACAAGAAAACAACAAAAGAAGGCUACAGAUACCAAGGCUAUUACUGAGUUCCCAGCAGAUAUAAUGAGGUGAAGAAGCAGAAGAGAGCUUGUAGUGCUGGGAAGCUUCCUAACUCUUGGCGACAAUGUUAGGCUAAAAGAGCCUACCAGAACCCUACACGUGGAUGCCUGGAUGGAGACUGAGAAGGCAGGUCUUAAAUGAAGAAGAGGGCAAAGUAGGAGAGGCUGCCAAGCCGGGAAGGUGCUUGGAAGAAACUUGAAUGCCUGCAGAGUUGGCCAACUUUGGGGGUAACAUCUGUAUAUAUAAGCUCCCUCUACCAAAGCAAGCAACUCGUCUAGAAUUCCACCUUAGUUGAGUAGUUGUUCUUGUCCCUGGUCACACAGCCAGCGUGUGCCAGAGGCAAGAUUAGAACCUAGGGCUUUCUGAUUCCAAGGCUGGUCUUCUACCUUCCCUGCCUCUCAUAUUUUAGUGAUGUUAAACAACUAUAUAUUCAUAUAGUCCUCUGUCAUUAGCAGAAGCUCUCAACGGAGACUAUUAGGGACCAUCUUAUCUACUAAUUAAUGUGAAACGGGACAGUAGAGCACCUUUACAGUACCGGAGGGGACAACUCUUAAGAAAGCUUAAACUUCUGUAGUCAUUAAAAACUUCAGAGAGAAUUUGGGGAGCUCAAUAUUGCUAUUUUGAGUGAAACGUGGG
Molecule: long non-coding RNA, 786 nt
Filed under: Monodelphis domestica (gray short-tailed opossum)
Lineage: Eukaryota; Metazoa; Chordata; Mammalia; Didelphimorphia; Didelphidae
Description: lncRNA (ENSMODG00000040915.1)
Source: RNAcentral